UACGUAGGGGGCUAGCGUUAUCCAGAUUUACUGGGCGUAAAGAGCGUGUAGGCGGCUCGAUAAGUCCGCUGUAAAAGUCCAGGGCUCAACCCUGGGAUGCCGGUGGAAACUGUCGGGCUAGAGUCCGGGAGAGGCGAGUGGAAUUCCUGGUGUAGCGGUGAAAUGCGCAGAUAUCAGGAGGAACACCAAUGGCGAAGGCAGCUCGCUGGAACGGUACUGACGCUGAGACGCGAAAGCGUGGGGAGCAAACCGG
Molecule: ribosomal RNA, 253 nt
Filed under: uncultured bacterium
Lineage: Bacteria
Description: partial 16S ribosomal RNA
Rfam family: Bacterial small subunit ribosomal RNA
Source: RNAcentral